RNAcentral lists this ribosomal RNA (449 nucleotides) under uncultured bacterium. RNAcentral describes it as "SSU rRNA". It matches the Rfam family "Bacterial small subunit ribosomal RNA", at positions 26 to 518 of the family's 1533-position model. The record is from RNAcentral.
AGGACGAACGCUGGCGGUGUGCUUCACACAUGCAAGUCGAACGAGGUAGCAAUACCUAGUGGCGGACGGGUGAGUAACGCGUGGGAAUCUGCCUUUGGAUGGGGGAUAACGGUUCGAAAGAGUCGCUAAUACCGCAUAUGACGAAAGUUGAAAGGAGUAAUCCGUCUAAAGAUGAGCCCGCGUCCGAUUAGCUAGUUGGUAAGGUAAGAGCUUACCAAGGCGACGAUCGGUAGCUGGUCUGAGAGGAUGAUCAGCCACAAUGGGACUGAGGCACGGCCCAUACUCCUACGGGAGGCAGCAGUGGGGAAUUUUACGCAAUGGGCGAAAGCCUGACGUAGCGACACCGCGUGAACGAAGAAGCCUCUUGGGGUGUAAAGUUCUGUCAGCUGGAACGAAAAAAUGACGGUACCAGCAGAGGAAGCAUCGGCUAACUACGUGCCAGCAGCCGC